UACGAUACGAGUUUGAUAUGGCUCAGGACGAACGCUGGCGGCGUGGAUUAGGCAUGCAAGUCGAACGGUAGGGUUCCUUCGGGGACCUGAGAGUGGCGAACGGGUGAGUAACACGUAGGUGAUCUACCCUCAAAUCGGGGACAACCCAGGGAAACUUGGGCUAAUACCGGAUGACAGCUCCUUUCGGGGAGUUUGAAAGAUGGCUUCGGCUGUCGUUUGGGGAUGAGCCUGCGCUCUAUUAGUUAGUUGGUGGGGUAACGGCCUACCAAGGCGAUGAUAGAUAGGCGGCCUUAACGGGUGGUCGCCCACACUGGGGUUGAGAUACGGCCCAGACUCCUACGGGAGGCAGCAGUCGAGAAUAGUCUACAAUGGUCGAAAGACUGAUAGUGCGACGCCGCGUGAACGAAGAAGCCCUUCGGGGUGUAAAGUUCUUUUAUAUGUGAGCAGUGGGUUUUAUGUGAACAGCAUGAGAUCAGAGAUAUUAGCAUAUGAAUAAGCAACGGCUAACUCCGUG
This 514-nucleotide ribosomal RNA is filed under the name uncultured bacterium. RNAcentral describes it as "bacterial SSU rRNA". It matches the Rfam family "Bacterial small subunit ribosomal RNA", at positions 1 to 507 of the family's 1533-position model. The record is from RNAcentral.